UCGCCUGUUUUACAAAAACAUGGUCUUUUGUUUAUAUAAAAGAUCUUACCUGCCCUAUGAUUUUAUUUUAAAUGGCUGCAGUAUUUUGACUGUACAAAGGUAGCAUAAUCAUUUGUCUUUUAAUUGAAGGCUUGUAUGAAUGGUUGGAUGAAAAAUAUACUUUCUUUAUUAUAUAUAAAAAAUUUAAUUUUUUAGUUAAAAAGCUAAGAUGAUAUUAUAGGACGAGAAGACCCUAUAGAACUUUAUUUUCUUUUUUAUAUAAAUUUUAUAGUUAAAUAAAAAUUUUUAUAUUUAUGUUUAUUUUGUUGGGGCGAUUGAAAAAAAUUAAUAACUUUUUCUAUUUUUUUCAUUUAUAUAUGUUAUAAUGAUCCUUUAUUAUGGAUAAUAAGAUUAAGUUACCUUAGGGAUAACAGCGUUAUUUUUUUGGAGAGUUCAUAUCGAUAAAAAAGUUUGCGACCUCGAUGUUGGAUUAAAAUAAGUAAUAGGGGUAGAAUAUUAUUAACUAGGUCUGUUCGACCUUUAAAUUUUUACAUGAUCGGGUUUUAACCCGGGGAAUUU
RNAcentral lists this ribosomal RNA (558 nucleotides) under Prolygus bakeri. Its description in RNAcentral is "partial small subunit ribosomal RNA". It matches the Rfam family "Bacterial large subunit ribosomal RNA", at positions 1796 to 2626 of the family's 2925-position model. The record is from RNAcentral. Lineage: Eukaryota; Metazoa; Arthropoda; Insecta; Hemiptera; Miridae.